UUGGAGGGCAAGUCUGGUGCCAGCAGCCGCGGUAAUUCCAGCUCCAAUAGCGUAUAUUAAAGUUGUUGCAGUUAAAAAGCUCGUAGUUGAACCUCGGGGUCUACCCAUUGGUCAGGCUUAAUUGUCUGCACUGGUGAGAUGGAUCUCUACCUUCUGAGGAACUUUCAUGCCAUUUAUUUGGUGUGAUGGGAAAUCAGGACUGUUACUUUGAAAAAAUUAGAGUGUUUAAAGCAGACUAUCGUCUGAAUACAUUAGCAUGGAAUAAUGAAAUAGGACGGACUGAUUCUAUUUCGUUGGUUUCUAGGAUCACCGUAAUGAUUAAUAGGGAUAGUUGGGGGCAUUAGUAUUCAAUUGUCAGAGGUGAAAUUCUUGGAUUUAUUGAAGACUAACUACUGCGAAAGCAUUUGCCAAGGAUGUUUUCAUUAAUCAAGAACGAAAGUUAGGGGAUCGAAGACGAUCAAAUACCGUCGUAGUCUUAACCAUAAACUAUGCCGACUAGGGAUCGGACGAAGUUAAUUUUAUAAUGACGCGUUCGGCACCUUACGGGAAACCAAAG
RNAcentral lists this ribosomal RNA (556 nucleotides) under uncultured Glomus. RNAcentral describes it as "SSU rRNA". It matches the Rfam family "Eukaryotic small subunit ribosomal RNA", at positions 548 to 1103 of the family's 1831-position model. The record is from RNAcentral. Lineage: Eukaryota; Fungi; Glomeromycota; Glomeromycetes; Glomerales; Glomeraceae.